AUUUCUGACGAGUCCCAAAUAGGACGAAAUGCGCAUCCUGGAU
Molecule: non-coding RNA, 43 nt
Filed under: Trichobilharzia regenti
Lineage: Eukaryota; Metazoa; Platyhelminthes; Trematoda; Strigeidida; Schistosomatidae
Source: RNAcentral